GACGAACGCUGGCGGCGUGCUUAACACAUGCAAGUCGAACGGAAAGGCCCCUUCGGGGGUACUCGAGUGGCGAACAGGUGAGUAACACGUGAGUAACCUGCCCUUGACUUCGGGAUAACUUCAGGAAACUGGGGCUAAUACCGGAUAGGAAUCCUUGCUGCAUGGUGGGGGUUGGAAAGCUUCGGCGGUUUUGGAUGGACUCGCGGCUUAUCAGCUUGUUGGUGGGGUAGUGGCUUACCAAGGCUUUGACGGGUAGCCGGCCUGAGAGGGCGACCGGCUACAUUGGGACUGAGAUACGGCCCAGACUCCUACGGGAGGCAGCAGUGGGGAAUAUUGCACAAUGGGCGGAAGCCUGAUGCAGCAACGCCGCGUGCGGGAUGACGGCCUUCGGGUUGUAAACCGCUUUCAGCAGGGGCGAAGCUUGUGGUGACGGUACCUGCAGAAGAAGCACCGGCUAACUACGUG
Molecule: ribosomal RNA, 465 nt
Filed under: uncultured bacterium
Lineage: Bacteria
Description: partial 16S ribosomal RNA
Rfam family: Bacterial small subunit ribosomal RNA
Source: RNAcentral